AGUGAACGCUGGCGGUAGGCCUAACACAUGCAAGUCGAACGGCAGCACAGGAGAGCUUGCUCUCUGGGUGGCGAGUGGCGGACGGGUGAGGAAUACAUCGGAAUCUACUCUGUCGUGGGGGAUAACGUAGGGAAACUUACGCUAAUACCGCAUACGACCUACGGGUGAAAGCAGGGGACCUUCGGGCCUCGCGCGAUUGACUGAGCCGAUGUCGGAUUAGCUAGUUGGCGGGGUAGAGGCCGACCAAGGCGACGAUCCGUAGCUGGUCUGUGAGGAUGAUCAGCCACACUGGAACUGAGACACGGUCCAGACUCCUACGGGAGGCAGCAGUGGGGAAUAUUGGACAAUGGGCGCAAGCCUGAUCCAGCCAUACCGCGUGGGUGAAGAAGGCCUUCGGGUUGUAAAGCCCUUUUGUUGGGAAAGAAAUCCAGCUGGCUAAUACCCGGUUGGGAUGACGGUACCCAAAGAAUAAGCACCGGCUAACUUCGUGCCAGCCGCCGCCGUAA
This 506-nucleotide ribosomal RNA is filed under the name uncultured bacterium. RNAcentral describes it as "partial 16S ribosomal RNA". It matches the Rfam family "Bacterial small subunit ribosomal RNA", at positions 29 to 523 of the family's 1533-position model. The record is from RNAcentral.